GACGAACGCUAGCGGCGGGCUUAACACAUGCAAGUCGACGACGCUACUGAGUAGCAAUGUUUAGUAUUGGAGUGGCGCAAGGGUGAGUAAUGUAUACGUAACCAACCCAUCGGAGACGGAUAACAUUUCUAAAGGGAUGCUAAAACUGCAUGAAGCCACGAUUUCGCAUUAAAUUGUGGGUGAAGAACCGUUAACAGGUUGCCUAUUGCUGGGCGUAUAUCCUAUUAGCUAGUUGGUAGUGUAAUGGACUACCAAGGCGACGAUCGGUAGCUGGUCUGAGAGGAUGAUCAGCCAACAUGGGAAUGAGAAAACGGACAGAAUCCUAAGGGAGGCAGCAGUGGGGAAUAUUGGGAAAUGCGCGCAAGGGUGAACCAGCAACGCCGGGUGGAGGAUGAACGCCGUAAGGGUGUAAAAUCUGACAAGCAGGGAAGAACGGAUAUGGUAAAAGGACAUAGAAUGACGGAACCUGCCUGAAGCCACGGGUAACCACGUG
This 493-nucleotide ribosomal RNA is filed under the name uncultured bacterium. Its description in RNAcentral is "partial 16S ribosomal RNA". It matches the Rfam family "Bacterial small subunit ribosomal RNA", at positions 28 to 507 of the family's 1533-position model. The record is from RNAcentral.